RNAcentral lists this ribosomal RNA (208 nucleotides) under uncultured bacterium. RNAcentral describes it as "partial 16S ribosomal RNA". It matches the Rfam family "Bacterial small subunit ribosomal RNA", at positions 568 to 774 of the family's 1533-position model. The record is from RNAcentral.
CGUGUAGGCGGAUGGGGACGUCGGUUGUUGAAAGCCCCCGGCUCAACCGGGGAACUGGCGCCGAAACGCCCUGUCUUGAGGAGCGUAGGGGGACCUGGAACUUCCGGUGGAGCGGUGAAAUGCGUUGAGAUCGGAAGGAACGCCCGUGGCGAAAGCGAGGUCCUGGACGUUAUCUGACGCUGAGACGCGAAAGCUAGGGGAGCGAACG